This 468-nucleotide ribosomal RNA is filed under the name uncultured bacterium. RNAcentral's name for it is "partial 16S ribosomal RNA". It matches the Rfam family "Bacterial small subunit ribosomal RNA", at positions 28 to 507 of the family's 1533-position model. The record is from RNAcentral.
GACGAACGCUGGCGGCGUGCUUAACACAUGCAAGUCGAACGGAAAGGCCCUGCUUUUGUGGGGUGCUCGAGUGGCGAACGGGUGAGUAACACGUGAGUAACCUGCCCUUGACUUUGGGAUAACUUCAGGAAACUGGGGCUAAUACCGGAUAGGAGCUCCUGCUGCAUGGUGGGGGUUGGAAAGUUUCGGCGGUUGGGGAUGGACUCGCGGCUUAUCAGCUUGUUGGUGGGGUAGUGGCUCACCAAGGCUUUGACGGGUAGCCGGCCUGAGAGGGUGACCGGCCACAUUGGGACUGAGAUACGGACCAGACUCCUACGGGAGGCAGCAGUGGGGAAUAUUGCACAAUGGGCGGAAGCCUGAUGCAGCAACGCCGCGUGCGGGAUGACGGCCUUCGGGUUGUAAACCGCUUUCGCCUGUGACGAAGCGUGAGUGACGGUAAUGGGUAAAGAAGCACCGGCUAACUACGUG